ACCGGUUUGGCUCAGCGGUACUGGGAGGAGCGCUGGUCCCGCCAAUUCUCGUCGUAAAUCGAAGUGGCCCCGGGUUCGAUUCCCGGGGCCAGCG
Non-coding RNA from Dichotomopilus funicola, 94 nucleotides. Lineage: Eukaryota; Fungi; Ascomycota; Sordariomycetes; Sordariales; Chaetomiaceae. The record is from the annotation of a RefSeq genome assembly.